Molecule: long non-coding RNA, 286 nt
Organism: Humulus lupulus (European hop)
Lineage: Eukaryota; Viridiplantae; Streptophyta; Magnoliopsida; Rosales; Cannabaceae
Exons: 2
Source: RefSeq, a predicted model, not a curated record
GGGUAUAUAUAAUCAGUCAAAAUUAGUAAGGAAUAUACUCUAUACUAGAUUCAUUCUCUUCAUCAAAAAUAACAAAAGAUUCAUUCUCAUUACCUUAUUACUCCCUGUUGCAGACCAGGUUCUAAAUGUCAUGUUCAUCCACAUGAGAGGGGUAUAGUUGAUUUCCACCCUAUAUAUUUCCAUUCAAAUGAGGCUAGUGGAUCUAUGAAACCAAUUACUUAUGGUUCCAUAUAAUUAACGACAGUUGACCAAUCAAGAUUUAGAAGGACUCGAGUUACUGAGGGUG